GAUGAACGCUGGCGGCGUGCCUAAUACAUGCAAGUCGAGCGAACAGACGAGGAGCUUGCUCCUCUGACGUUAGCGGCGGACGGGUGAGUAACACGUGGAUAACCUACCUAUAAGACUGGGAUAACUUCGGGAAACCGGAGCUAAUACCGGAUAAUAUAUUGAACCGCAUGGUUCAAUAGUGAAAGACGGUUUUGCUGUCACUUAUAGAUGGAUCCGCGCCGCAUUAGCUAGUUGGUAAGGUAACGGCUUACCAAGGCAACGAUGCGUAGCCGACCUGAGAGGGUGAUGGGCACCCAGGGAACGAGGCCCCGGUCAGGGACCUAAGGGGAGGCCGAAGUAGGAAAUCUGCCCAAAGGGGGGAAAGCCUGACGGGGCAACCCCGCGGGAGGGAGGAAGGUCUUGGGAUCGUAAACCUCUGUUUUUAGGGAAAAAAAAAUGUGUAAGUAACUAUCCCCUUUUGGCCGUACCCUAAUAAGAAAGCCCGGCUAAACUCCGG
This 496-nucleotide ribosomal RNA is filed under the name uncultured bacterium. RNAcentral's name for it is "partial 16S ribosomal RNA". It matches the Rfam family "Bacterial small subunit ribosomal RNA", at positions 28 to 506 of the family's 1533-position model. The record is from RNAcentral.